UACGUAGGGCGCAAGCGUUGUCCGGAAUUAUUGGGCGUAAAGAGCUCGUAGGCGGUUUGUCGCGUCUGUCGUGAAAGCUUGGGGCUUAACCCCAAGUCUGCGGUGGAUACGGGCAGACUAGAGGCAGGUAGGGGAGAACGGAAUUCCCGGUGUAGCGGUGAAAUGCGCAGAUAUCGGGAGGAACACCGGUGGCGAAGGCAGAUCUCUGGGCCGUAACUGACGCUGAGGAGCGAAAGCAUGGGGAGCGAACAGG
RNAcentral lists this ribosomal RNA (253 nucleotides) under uncultured bacterium. Its description in RNAcentral is "partial 16S ribosomal RNA". It matches the Rfam family "Bacterial small subunit ribosomal RNA", at positions 524 to 776 of the family's 1533-position model. The record is from RNAcentral.